GUAUGGGUCACCGCAAGGUUUCUGGCGCAUUUCGUCAGACCGUAUUCUGCGGUUCGCUCGCGAACCGUAACCGGCAAGUCCGGAUGUUUAACCCGCCGGUGUCUGCACCGGG
Molecule: non-coding RNA, 112 nt
Organism: Pseudomonas lutea
Lineage: Bacteria; Pseudomonadati; Pseudomonadota; Gammaproteobacteria; Pseudomonadales; Pseudomonadaceae
Source: Rfam